UGGGGAAUAUUGCACAAUGGGGGAAACCCUGAUGCAGCGACGCCGCGUGAACGAAGAAGGUAUUCGUAUCGUAAAGUUCUGUCCUAUGGGAAGAUAAUGACAGUACCAUAGAAGAAAGCUCCGGCUAAAUACGUGCCAGCAGCCGCGGUAAUACGUAUGGAGCGAGCGUUGUCCGGAAUUAUUGGGCGUAAAGGGUACGCAGGCGGUUUAAUAAGUCGAAUGUUAAAGAUCGGGGCUCAACCCCGCAAAGCAUUGGAAACUGAGAAACUUGAGUAGUGGAGAGGAAAGUGGAAUUCCUAGUGUAGUGGUGAAAUACGUAGAUAUUAGGAGGAAUACCAGUAGCGAAGGCGACUUUCUGGACACAAACUGACGCUGAGGUACGAAAGCGUGGGGAGCAAACAGG
This 403-nucleotide ribosomal RNA is filed under the name bacterium. RNAcentral's name for it is "partial 16S ribosomal RNA". It matches the Rfam family "Bacterial small subunit ribosomal RNA", at positions 355 to 776 of the family's 1533-position model. The record is from RNAcentral.